GGGCCCGGAGAUGGGUACUGAGACACGGACCCAGGCCCUAUGGGGCGCAGCAGGCGAGAAACCUUUGCAAUGUGCGAAAGCACGACAAGGUUAAUCCGAGUGUCUUCUGCUAAAGAAGUCUUUUGUUAGUCAUAGAACCACUGAUGAAUAAGGGGUGGGCAAGUUCUGGUGUCAGCCGCCGCGGUAAAACCAGCACCUCGAGUGGUCAGGAGGUUUAUUGGGCCUAAAGCAUCCGUAGCCGGUUGUUUAAGUUUUCGGUUAAAUCUAUGCGCUUAACGUAUAGGCUGCCGAAAAUACUGGACAGCUAGGGAGUGGGAGAGGUACACGGUACUCAAUAGGAAGGGGUAAAAUCCUUUGAUCUGUUGAUGACCACCUGUGGCGAAGGCGGUGUACCAGAACACGUUCGACGGUGAGGGAUGAAAGCUGGGGGAGCAAACCGGAUUAGAUACCCGGGUAGUCCCAGCUGUAAACGAUGCAAACUCGGUGAUGCAUUGGCUUGUGGCCAAUGCAGUGCCGCAGGGAAGCCGUUAAGUUUGCCGCCUGGGAAGUACGUACGCAAGUAUGAAACUUAAAGGAAUUGGCGGGGGAGCACCACAAGGGGUGAAGCCUGCGGUUCAAUUGGAGUCAACGCCGA
This 634-nucleotide ribosomal RNA is filed under the name uncultured crenarchaeote. RNAcentral describes it as "bacterial SSU rRNA". It matches the Rfam family "Archaeal small subunit ribosomal RNA", at positions 286 to 921 of the family's 1478-position model. The record is from RNAcentral. Lineage: Archaea; Thermoproteati; Thermoproteota.